CGUAGAGCAAUAAUUGCCAUUUCGUUUUGAACAGCGACUGGUUCUACCAUUUCAAGUUAACGUUUUCCCUCACAGAUAAUUGUGCGGGCCUUGAGUUGCGCAAAGAAUUUGGACUUCAAAAGCAAUUACCAUGGCUCAGUUUUGUCGUAUCCUUGCUGCUACCGUGCUUCUUAUGUUGGUUAUCGAGAUCUACUGUUGGCCAUGUCCUCCGCAGAUGCGCCGUGAUAUCGAUGGCAAACGUCAAGCUUAUCCAAGAUGGUAUCGGUGCCGCUGUGGUGGUGUACUCUAUGAUCCAGGCUCAAAAUUAUGCUGCGACAACAAUCUUUAUCCUAAAAUUCGUGGUCACUUAUGCUGUGGUAAACGAACAUACAAUCGUUUUUCUCAGGUUUGCUGCCAAGGCAAAGUGGAGUGGGGAUGUUGUGGGUAAGCCCAAUUCUUACAUGUCCACAUCUUAUGAGGAAGCAACUGAGAAUACAUCUUUUCCUUUCGCCAGAAUUUUGCCUAUUGUAUAUC
Long non-coding RNA from Orbicella faveolata, 513 nucleotides. The record is from RefSeq and is a predicted model, not a curated record. NCBI's taxonomy places the organism in Eukaryota, Metazoa, Cnidaria, Anthozoa, Scleractinia, Merulinidae.